CCUACGGCUGGCAGCAGUGGGGAAUAUUGGACAAUGGGCGAAAGCCUGAUCCAGCCAUGCCGCGUGUGUGAAGAAGGCCUUCGGGUUGUAAAGCACUUUCAGUGGGGAAGAAAGCCUUGGGGCUAAUACCCUCGAGGAAGGACAUCACCCACAGAAGAAGCACCGGCUAACUCCGUGCCAGCAGCCGCGGUAAUACGGAGGGUGCGAGCGUUAAUCGGAAUUACUGGGCGUAAAGCGCGCGUAGGCGGUCUGAUAAGCCGGUUGUGAAAGCCCCGGGCUCAACCUGGGAACGGCAUCCGGAACUGUCAGGCUAGAGUGCAGGAGAGGAAGGUAGAAUUCCCGGUGUAGCGGUGAAAUGCGUAGAGAUCGGGAGGAAUACCAGUGGCGAAGGCGGCCUUCUGGACUGACACUGACGCUGAGGUGCGAAAGCGUGGGUAGCAAACAGGAUUAGAUACCCGUGUAGUC
Molecule: ribosomal RNA, 465 nt
Filed under: Vreelandella stevensii
Lineage: Bacteria; Pseudomonadati; Pseudomonadota; Gammaproteobacteria; Oceanospirillales; Halomonadaceae
Description: partial 16S ribosomal RNA
Rfam family: Bacterial small subunit ribosomal RNA
Source: RNAcentral